Molecule: ribosomal RNA, 477 nt
Filed under: uncultured bacterium
Lineage: Bacteria
Description: bacterial SSU rRNA
Rfam family: Bacterial small subunit ribosomal RNA
Source: RNAcentral
GACGAACGCUGGCGGCGUGCUUAACACAUGCAAGUCGCACGGGGCCCGCAAGGGUUCAGUGGCGGACGGGUGCGUAACACGUGAAGAACUUGUCCAUCGGUGGGGAGUAGCCGGCCCAACGGCCGGGUAAUACCGCGUACGUCGGCGGGAACGCAUGUUCCUGCCGGGAAAGCAGCAAUGCGCCGAUGGAGAGCUUCGCGGCCUAUCAGCUUGUUGGUGGGGUAAUGGCCUACCAAGGCAACGACGGGUAGCUGGUCUGAGAGGAUGAUCAGCCACAUUGGGACUGAGACACGGCCCAGACUCCUACGGGAGGCAGCAGUGGGGAAUAUUGCGCAAUGGGCGAAAGCCUGACGCAGCGACGCCGCGUGCGGGAUGAAGGCCUUCGGGUCGUAAACCGCUGUCGCCAGGGACGAAACAAAUAGACGGUACCCUGGAAAGGAAGGCACCGGCUAACUCUGUGCCAGCAGCCGCGGUAAU